This 613-nucleotide long non-coding RNA is filed under the name Capsicum annuum. RNAcentral describes it as "long non-coding RNA (CANN_LNC018992)". The record is from RNAcentral. Lineage: Eukaryota; Viridiplantae; Streptophyta; Magnoliopsida; Solanales; Solanaceae.
AUGUGAAAUUGAAUAUGCAUUUUUACAUGGGUUGAGUAUUUUGACAUGGUUGAUUCUUAAAUUAUUUUUUCAUGAACUAAUAUACAUUGUCUAUGCUUGCUUUACGAUUUUGAACUUGAGGGGUGCAUGGGUUGGUGAAACCAAGGGAUUAAGGUUUUCCCCAAUUUUUUUGGUGAACUUUUAUAAUUGAAUUGCUAUAUCCUCAACCCAAUAUUAUGAAAUUGAUUUGAACAUAAGUAUAUGCACAUGAAAAUAUUUUUGGAACCAUUGUAAGGCUUAAAAGGUAUUUGAAACAUGAAUUAAUUUUAACUAAACUUUGGGAUUUAUGAAUUUCCUGUGAAUUAAUAAUUGAACCUAAAGGGAUUGGGGGGUGUGUGCGUGUGAAUUCCCUCGUGUGAUAGAUAAUUGAUACGACAUGAUAAUUUUAGCUUGCAAGUAAUGUUGGUAUGACUAUGCCAACGGUAUGCCUUAAUGAAUGAAUAGGUUCAAUUAAUGAAAAUGUGUGCUAAAUGUUUAAAUUGGGCUUACACGAGAGAUGUGUAGCUAGGAUGUGAAAGUGGAGGUCCCAAGGGACCAAUACAAAAAACCGUGAGUGCCGACGAGGGAGUCUAAA